UAUUUAUUUAUUUAUUUAUUUAUUUAUUUAUUUAUUUUUAAAUAUUAACGGUCCUUCAUAUGUUUCUGGAGGGAUACAAUGAGUUGGAUUAUAUGCUGACGUUUUCCACUCUUAAAAAUAAAAAAAAAUAAAUAAUAUAAUAUAUACUAAUAAAAAUUGUAUUUAAAUAAUUUAAAAAUAUAAGAAUUUUAAAAUAUAAAACAAGAAUGUACACACAUAAGUCCCAUUUUACUUUAUAUAAUUACGCAAUUUUCUUCUUUAACCUAAAGGACAUAUUAGAGUAUAAUCUCUUCUACAUUUUCCUAUGUACCUGAAAAUUUAAGUAGAUGUUUACAUACAUAUAUAAUACAUUAAAUAUUUAAUUAAUCAAAUAAUAAUAUUUUUUUUUGUUUUUUUUAUUUUGAUGAUAUACCAUAACAUUUUUAAUCUCUCUUGAAUUACUCUAAAUAUUUCUUAAAAUAUUUAAAAAAAAAAAAAAUAAAAUAAAAUAAAACAUAUAACAAACAUAUAACAAACAUAUGACAAACAUAUAAAAAACAUAUAACAAACAUAUAACAAACAUAUAACAAACAUAUAAUAAAUAAUAUUAUAAAAAUACAAAAGAGAAAAAAAAAAAAAAUAGACACCUUCAUUCAAAAGGUUUUCAAUUUCUAUAUUUUCCAGAUCAACAACUGCUUCUUUUUCAGCCUAAAAAAAAAAAAAAAAAAAAAAAAUAAAAAAAAUAAAAAAAAAAAAAAAAAAAAAAAAAAAAAGAUCAUAACUGUCGUAACAUUCUUCAUUUCGACUAUUAAAAAAUUUGGGUUAAUUCAACAAUUUUAUAAGUAAAAAGCAGAAAAGACAAAAAAUUAUAUAUAUAUAUUUACAAUUGCGUUUCUGUAAUAUAUACUUCUCUAAUUAACACUAUAUGGGUCAGAAAUGUUGUACUAACAAGUUAUGAUAGAGAAUAUAUAUAUAUAUAUAUAUAUAUAUAUAUAUAUAUAUAUAUUAUAGUUCAUCAGCUAUAAAUGUAAAUAUGCAUAUGUGUAUUUAUCGAUUCCUUCUUUUGAUUUAUUUUUAAAAUAUUGUGCUAUAAUAAAAAAGCAAAAAAAAAAAAAAAUAAAAAAAAA
RNAcentral lists this long non-coding RNA (1106 nucleotides) under Piliocolobus tephrosceles (Ugandan red Colobus). RNAcentral's name for it is "lncRNA (ENSPTEG00000007483.1)". The record is from RNAcentral. Lineage: Eukaryota; Metazoa; Chordata; Mammalia; Primates; Cercopithecidae.